RNAcentral lists this ribosomal RNA (460 nucleotides) under uncultured bacterium. Its description in RNAcentral is "partial 16S ribosomal RNA". It matches the Rfam family "Bacterial small subunit ribosomal RNA", at positions 338 to 795 of the family's 1533-position model. The record is from RNAcentral.
CCUACGGGGGGCAGCAGUGAGGAAUAUUGGUCAAUGGACGAGAGUCUGAACCAGCCAAGUAGCGUGAAGGAAGACUGCCCUAUGGGUUGUAAACUUCUUUUAUAUGGGAAUAAAACGAUCCACGUGUGGGAUUUUGUAUGUACCAUAUGAAUAAGGAUCGGCUAACUCCGUGCCAGCAGCCGCGGUAAUACGGAGGAUCCGAGCGUUAUCCGGAUUUAUUGGGUUUAAAGGGAGCGUAGGUGGAUUUUUAAGUCAGUUGUGAAAGUUUGCGGCUCAACCGUAAAAUUGCAGUUGAAACUGGCAGUCUUGAGUACAGUAGAGGUGGGCGGAAUUCGUGGUGUAGCGGUGAAAUGCUUAGAUAUCACGAAGAACUCCGAUUGCGAAGGCAGUUCACUGGACUGCAACUGACACUGAGGCUCGAAAGUGUGGGUAUCAAACAGGAUUAGAUACCCCAGUAGUC